GCCUGCGUAGCUCAGUGGUUUAGAGCAAAAGUUUUCUAAUCUUUGGGUCGGGGGUUCGAUUCCCUCCGUGGGCU
Lingula anatina is the source of this 74-nucleotide non-coding RNA. The record is from Rfam. NCBI's taxonomy places the organism in Eukaryota, Metazoa, Brachiopoda, Lingulata, Lingulida, Lingulidae.